Molecule: long non-coding RNA, 776 nt
Organism: Armigeres subalbatus
Lineage: Eukaryota; Metazoa; Arthropoda; Insecta; Diptera; Culicidae
Exons: 3
Source: RefSeq, a predicted model, not a curated record
ACACUCAGCACGUGAAAUUGAUCUCGGGAUCGUCUGAACGAAAGUGCGAGCCUACAACGUGCAAAGCACGAGGUGAAGCGUGAACAUUCUCUAAUAAUCCGCACGAUAGUGAAUUGAUUAAAUAACAAUUGGAAAGGGAGUUUGGCGUCAAGAGUUGUGGGCCAGAAAGAAAGCUGUUAAAAGUUGACGCAAACCACGCUCUUUUGUCCUACAAUCCUUGUGCCGGUGGACGUUCGGUCUAUCAACCAAAGUGCUUCCGAGAUACGUUUUAGGCAGAACACUAGCGUCACGCAACGAAGUACACGAGUUCAAUUGGGAGAAGCGAAAGCCCCGCGAUAGGGGCUUUUUUCUUUUGACUCGUUCUCUCGAUCAAGGGCACGUGAAGGCACUCGUAGGUUCGUCGUUCUCGAGGGGCAAGAACAUCGCAGCAUCGGCCAACGGUCCUGGCGGCGCGACAAGUGGCCGUGUGAAUAACGCUGGAACAACAACGAGCCGGAGCUGACGAGCUUUGACCCGCUGAUGACAUUCGCGUCGAGCAUGCGGCGCGCGGAAGUAAACAUGCGGUGCAGUUGCACCAACGCGCACACUGUUCGCGUCGACUAGGGGACGACGGCGCCGAGGCAAACGGGGUUCGUGGUUCAACGUGAGUAGUAUUACGCUAGAUGUAAGACAAAGAUGAAAAGAAAGUAGGAGUCAGGAAAGUAGAGUGCAGGAAGAGAAGGAAGGAAGUAUGGGGAAGUAAAGUAUCAAUAAAUAAUGUAAAAUUUCAAACAACA